Molecule: long non-coding RNA, 1272 nt
Organism: Eutrema salsugineum
Lineage: Eukaryota; Viridiplantae; Streptophyta; Magnoliopsida; Brassicales; Brassicaceae
Exons: 3
Source: RefSeq, a predicted model, not a curated record
UGGCACCUUAAAAAAAUCUCAUCUCUUCAUCUUCCCAAGCGAGCCGUUCCUCCUGAUCUCGCUUUCUGAAGCGUUCAAUCCUUCCAAGUUCCAAUUUAUUCGACUCCCACAUUUGUAGUUUAUGCCAGUUCCAUUUAUACCGUUCCUACUUAACAGAUCAUAUGAAAUUCGAUCCUGAAAUCAGAUCUGUAGUGUCAGUUGCUUGGAGAAGCUAGAACAGAUUGGCGAAGGAACUUACAGGUUUCCUCCCCCUCCUUCUUCUUCUUCUCAAUUGCUGUCAUUUUCUCUGGGUUUUGUUCUUCAAUUUGGUUUGUGACUUCUCAUGAAUUUUAUUGUUCUUUGAAGCGAUUUUUCAUUGCCAAGUUCCGUUAAAAUACUAUUUUGUAUUUUGUUGAUUGAGUGAAUUGGGAUAUAUUUUUUCUUUUUGCUUCAGAUUACAAAUAAUUGUGAAUCUUAUUCUAGAACAUAGUAGCUGGGGUUUUUAUAUUCAUAUGGUUGGCUUUCAUUUUGGAGUCAAGUUACAUGGCUAAAGAAAUCAAACCUGUGAAAUCGUGGCACUGAAAAAGAUCUGUAAAAGAAAAAGGAAAAGAAGGGGUAAGCUACAUUUGACUAAACUUGCAAACUUUUGUGAAUCCAGUAUGAUUUUAUAAUUCCCUUAUGACUGUCUGCUUCAAGAUUCCGAUAACAGCAAUGACGUGGUAAGAUGAAUUGGUGGAGCUAAUGUUCAAAGGAGACAUGGGUUCGUUGGUGCUUAUGGUAAGGAAUGAAUGCCAAAAUGGUGGGAUUGAUUCUCUGGGAAACGAAUAACUUCUGCUGUACAAUCAAAUGAUCAGACCCUGGGAUUCGAGGAGGAGAAUUGGCUUAGGUGGCGGGUAAUGAAGCUGGAGAGAGGCUGAUGAGAACGAAAAGAGUGGAAGAAGAAGAAGAAGAAGAAAAAGAAAAAGAAAACGAGAGGAUGAAUAAUAUAAAGGAGGCUGCAAGGAAGAAUGGUAGGUACUAUAGGGUGAUGAGAGUGAUGGUGAAUCUUAGAAUAUCUCAAUAUCCCGAAUCAGAGAAAGGUUAAUCAAAUUCAUCAGCAAACUCAAUCUCUUGCGGGUUUCAAGUCAACCUGGUUUUGUCUUCAUAGGAGAAUGUCUGAUCGCUUAGAUGGCUCAUAACCAGAAAGGAAUGCGUACACAAGUUAGUUGUUUUGCUUUGCUUUGAGAGAAAUUUAUGUUAAUAAUUCAUGUAGCUAUAUAUUCGCAAUUAUAUCACAAAUAUUUUUUAAUGAAA